RNAcentral lists this ribosomal RNA (492 nucleotides) under uncultured bacterium. RNAcentral's name for it is "partial 16S ribosomal RNA". It matches the Rfam family "Bacterial small subunit ribosomal RNA", at positions 29 to 507 of the family's 1533-position model. The record is from RNAcentral.
AGUGAACGCUGGCGGUAGGCCUAACACAUGCAAGUCGAACGGCAGCACAGUAAGAGCUUGCUCUUACGGGUGGCGAGUGGCGGACGGGUGAGGAAUACAUCGGAAUCUACUUUUUCGUGGGGGUUAACGUAGGGAAACUUACGCUAAUACCGCAUACGCCCUACGGGGGAAAGCAGGGGAUCUUCGCACCUUGCGCGAUUGAAUGCGCCGAUGUCGGAUUAGCUAGUUGGCGGGGUAAAGGCCCACCAAGGCGACGAUCCGUAGCUGGUCUGAGAGGAUGAUCAGCCACACUGGAACUGAGACACGGUCCAGACUCCUACGGGAGGCAGCAGUGGGGAAUAGUGGACAAUGGGCGCAAGCCUGAUCCAGCCAUACCGCGUGGGUGAAGAAGGCCUUCGGGUUGUAAAGCCCUUUUGUUGGGAAAGAAAAGCAGCAGGUUAAUACCCCGCUGUUCUGACGGUACCCAAAGAAUAAGCACCGGCUAACUUCGUG